This 536-nucleotide ribosomal RNA is filed under the name Fusarium avenaceum. Its description in RNAcentral is "eukaryotic LSU rRNA". The stretch from base 193 to 346 matches the Rfam family "5.8S ribosomal RNA". Lineage: Eukaryota; Fungi; Ascomycota; Sordariomycetes; Hypocreales; Nectriaceae. The record is from RNAcentral.
GUAACAAGGUCUCCGUUGGUGAACCAGCGGAGGGAUCAUUACCGAGUUUACAACUCCCAAACCCCUGUGAACAUACCUUAAUGUUGCCUCGGCGGAUCAGCCCGCGCCCCGUAAAACGGGACGGCCCGCCAGAGGACCCAAACUCUAAUGUUUCUUAUUGUAACUUCUGAGUAAAACAAACAAAUAAAUCAAAACUUUCAACAACGGAUCUCUUGGUUCUGGCAUCGAUGAAGAACGCAGCAAAAUGCGAUAAGUAAUGUGAAUUGCAGAAUUCAGUGAAUCAUCGAAUCUUUGAACGCACAUUGCGCCCGCUGGUAUUCCGGCGGGCAUGCCUGUUCGAGCGUCAUUUCAACCCUCAAGCCCCCGGGUUUGGUGUUGGGGAUCGGCUCUGCCUUCUGGCGGUGCCGCCCCCGAAAUACAUUGGCGGUCUCGCUGCAGCCUCCAUUGCGUAGUAGCUAACACCUCGCAACUGGAACGCGGCGCGGCCAUGCCGUAAAACCCCAACUUCUGAAUGUUGACCUCGGAUUCAGGUAGGA